Unclassified non-coding RNA from Drosophila serrata, 5426 nucleotides. The record is from RefSeq and is a predicted model, not a curated record. NCBI's taxonomy places the organism in Eukaryota, Metazoa, Arthropoda, Insecta, Diptera, Drosophilidae.
GUCGGCGGUCCUGCAGCGCAAAACGAAAAACAAGGACAAAAUGAAACCGUUACACGCUCAGCGAGCGCAACAACACAAAAAAGGACGACAAAAUACUCGUAACUUUCCAUAAUGUGCAACGCGCGUGAAAAUUCGUCCUUAGCUCGGCGUGAAAAAUAUGCGAGCACAACAGUAAUGACAUUGAAAUGGCGACAGAAAUACAAAAGCAGAAAACGGCCAAAGAAACUGAAACAACGAAUAAUUGCAACAAACACUGCCCCAGCAACAGCAAAAGCAACAGCAAAAGCAACAACAAAAGCAACAACACCAAGAAUAACACUUGAAACAAAGCAAACAACAAAAGCAACAAUUGCAACCAGCAGACUGAGAGAAACGAGCUGUAAACUGAGGCGACACCGAAAAUGGCUGCCAAAUGAACGACACACGAGUGUCGCAAAAAUGUUGCAAAUGCUGCAAGCAACAACAGCAAAGCCAACACAAUGUCAUGCAAUUAAAGUAACAGGAACAGCAGCAACAUCCACAAUGACUUCCAGCUGCAACGUUCAUUGUCAGGAGCAACAUGAGCAACUGCAGCAGCAGCAGCAACAACUGCAGCAGCAACAACAGCAACUACAACAUCAGCCACAGCUGCAACAUCAGCAGCGGCGACAUCCACUUCCGGCGACGACUUCCACGCUGACGCUGCUCCUCUGCCUGGGCCUCAGUUUGGGCCUGGCCGCCACAGCAGCAGCUGCAGCUGGGGCUGGAGCCGGUUCCGGAGGCGGAGGAGGAGCUGCUGCCGGAUCCGGAUCCGGAUCCGGAGCCGGAGCCGGGGCAACAGCUGGCUCCACAUCCAGCUCUUUCGGGCCCGGCAAAACUGCCAAUUUACAAAUGGCACCCGGCUCCGCCUCCUCCCCGACAGGCUGCUCCCUCGCCGAGUACAGCUGCUCCAACGGACGCUGCGUGCCGCUGAGCAAGUACUGCAACAACGCCAACGACUGCGGCGAUGGGAGCGAUGAGCCUCGGUUUUGCACACGCUGUAAUCGCACCUACUACGGAGACAUCGGGCAGACGUACGCCCUGGAGUUGCACCGACCCAAGCAGGAUCGCGUGCCCUUUGUGUGUGUGCUCACGUUUACGGCGGCAGGUGGGCAGCACGGCGACGUGGUGCAGGUCACCCUGGACAGCUUCACGAUUGGGAGAUUCACCUCGUACGUGCACGAGGGCUGUCCGGAUGGAUACAUGCAGAUAGCGGAGUCAGCGCGAACGCCCAUCGGCGGAAUGUGGUGCGGCACAUCCUGGGGACCAGUGCUCUUCUACAGCGAGACCCGCUCCCUGAUAUUCACCAUCCGGCUGAACAGACUGGCGAGGGAUCAGAGUGGUUACAACUUCGACUUUCGCAUCCGGUACAAGGUGCUCUCCAGGGACAGUUCGGUGACCCGCUACGGGGGUAUUAAGCUGGCAGAGCUAGCCCAGUGGCAUAACCGCAGCAGCUUCCUCAACCAACAACAGCAGCAGCAGCAACAGCAGCAACAGGCCCCAGGAAUCCUGGAGGACUUCACCAACUCGAGCGUAGCCCGUUCUGACCGCUAUGGCCAGGAUUUUAGCCUGUUUAGCGCAUAUGCCAAUAACAAGACCUUCAUGGCCUCACUGGAAAAAUCCCUGGCCAAGGACGAGCAGAACUACACGGAACCAAAAUACUAUCUGGGUGACCUCAUACCCGGGACCUACUGCUCAAGGAUCUUCAGCGACUGCGACAAGAAGUCCUGUCGACUGCAAUCGCCCAACUUUCCCGGUAUCUAUCCCCGCAACCUCACCUGUUACUACGCAGUGCGUCAGCACGACGUGCCCCAUGGCAAGCACGCCCUGAUUCUAGUCAAACAACCGAAGGGCAAUCUGGUCUGGAUUUCCACCCAGGAAACGGCCGCGGCGAAUAAAAUGGCACCACCGCCGAGUGCCAGCGACAAGGAUAAGAAAUUCGAGCCGAGGCUGAAAACAUGGAAUGACUGCGAUUACAUUCAGGAAAAUGUAAAGCCCAAAUGGAAAUCCACGGACUACGUGACCGUGUAUGAUGGCUAUACCACACGUGACCCCAUCAUUUUGAAGUUCUGCGGCGGCGGUCAGGCGGUGCCGGCGGCCGUUUCCAGCGGCCCGGAGCUUCUGGUCGAGUUCAGCACGUCGCCGUUUGGCACCUUCACCGGCACCUCGUCGCAGGUCCUGCCACUUUACGGUUUCCAGCUGGAGGUGGAAGUUCAGUUCGUGGACAUCCAGAGUCCCACGUACUCGAAGAACAAGAAGCCAUGCGAGUUUUGGAUUCGCGGCGCCGGGCGUGGCAUUCUGGAGAAUCCCAAGCAUUCGCUAGCACCGAACUCCACGUGCCUGUACCACCUGCAGGGACUGGGCGUCUUCAAGACCUUCGACCACCUGAGUUUGUCGCGACGGACGAGCAGCCAGUCGGGAAUGCAUCAGCCGCUGUCGCGCUUCAAGGUCUGGAUAUCCGUUCUCAAGUUCAACUUGGAUCCGGAGUUCGGGCGAGUGGAUGAGACCUCUGUGGGAGCGAUAGGAGUGCUGCAGACGCAAGAGGAUUGCAGUGGCAUGCUGCGCAUCUGGGAUGGAACUCUGAGGGAUGCUCCCGUCUGCAAGGACUUGAACUGUGUUAGCGAGACGAGUAGCUACAACACCUUGGGUCACUAUGCGCACAAUUCCACCAAUGUUAUUGCCCGUUUCUGUCGGGGCACAAUACCCCGCACCUGCGAUCGUUCCAACAUUAAUGAGACCUACGCCCGACCCUGCACCAUCUCCGAGAGCUAUGUGUCCACAAGUGAUGCCAUCACACUGGAACUCCGCAACACCGAAUCCACUGUGCUCAGACCACUGGACUUUAAGCUCAAGUACGAGUUUAUUGACCUGCACCAGGAUGGACUUCCCUGGGGUGGCGGCGAACAUGAUUGCAACCGAAAGUUCCUCAGCAACAUGAUGGACCGAAAGGAUCCCGCCAUUUUCCGGAGUGUUCGAAAUAUAUUCCUUUUUGGAAGAGGCGGCACCAGGAAUCUAAAGUGUGUCUACAAGUUCGAGGCACAACGAGGAGAACGGGUCCGGAUUAAGCUACGUAAGGUGACAACCACCAAUCGACCCUGCUACUCGCGUGUGGAUGAGGACAUUAACCGAUCCUUUUGCUACGGGGAUACCAAUGUUAGAAUUGAGAUCUUUGAGAGGCCCUAUCACGACUCCAUCUUGCUCCAUCGCGGCUGUAUGUGCAACUCCUCAAAUCAGUCCCACCUGCCCGUGGAGUACACCUCGACGAGUCGCGAUGUGGAGGUGCACUUCAUUGCCCAGAACAUGACAACUUUGGAUGACCCCGAUACGGUUAACUUCGAGGGCAUGUUCGAGUUUGUCAAGGCCCCGACAAGCUGUAAAGAUGGACGCAGAAAGUUUGGUCCUAGUGGUACCAUAGAUAUGACCUUCGGAGAUGUGGAGUGCCGCUCGAGACCCUGGUUGAUUGAGCCCUCGAAUGGCAAUAAGUUCUUAUAUGUGCGACUCAAGGCUAUCUUCCUGAGUAAGCACAAUCCGAUGAAGACUCUGAACACAACCUUUGUUCAGUCGGAUACUUGGAGAUGUGAGACCAAAUCCAGAGCUGUGCUAACUACUUCGGAGGGUCUCACCAUUGUGGCCUGUCCUCUGAGUCCCGACUCGAGUGCCUACGAAUUUGUGGAGAUCUUCAGCUCUGGAUGGAAUGAGAGGCCCAACUUUGCACUUAUCAAUCGAUCAAGGGCCAUUAGCGUGGAGUUCCUGAGACCAGGAAAUGGCGAGUACUCCUUUAACUGGAUGGAACUGAUACCCAGGCCCACGCUUAGCAUGGCGGAGGACUGUCAGUUCAAGUGCGCCGAGCUGGGAGCCUGUGUGAAUGCCAGCGUUUGGUGCGAUGGCGUCGUCCACUGUCCCUCAGGUGAUGAUGAGGCCUUCCUGCAGUGCUCGGCUCUGAUGAAGCUGCCCGCCGAGAUUUUGGCCACUCUCUGCCUGAUCUUUGUGCUCUCGUGUUGUGCAUUUGCUGCCUUUGCCUACAAGAAAAUCAAACGCAAGCUGCGGGGCUCCUCGGUGCUGCAGACGCGACUCAAGUCGCUCAGCUCGAUGGACACCGCUGUGCUGGAUGAAAAGGAGGUGAUUUGCUGACAAAGCGACAAUUCUGUGCGUUACGUGGAGAUCGACCGUGUGACCACGGUCUGAUGCUCGACGGCCAGUAACGUGCAGAAUUGUGCCCCGGAACAGACACCAGAAUCGCUACCACAAGCCAACCAAGAAACAGAAACCACAACCACAACUGACGCGAAUGCGAAACGCAACAAUGAAACGAUCAAAAGAAAAGGCAACACUUUUUCGCAAUCAAAAUCAAAACCAAAACCAAUACCAAAAUCAAAAUCGAAAUCGUUCACUUGUUUUUUAAACCGCAUUUAUAAGAGAAUCAACCGGAAUCCGCGACACUCGGCCGGAUCGCGUUUUUUCUAUUUGUAUUGACCUCUAUUUUAUAGAUCGCAAGACUCAUGUCGGAUGACUCGUGCUCGUUUUUUUCCAGUGUCGCGCAAUUUUAUAAGCAAUUUUCUAGGCCUAGGGUUUUUUCGUAUGUAUUUUCGAUAUAAUUUCCCAACUUGACCCACUUGAGCACACAUAUACUGUACAUAACACGGAAGGACGAGGACCAGAAAUCGAAAUCGGACUGACUCUGACCAGUUACAACUUCCUCUAGGCGCUCGUGUCCUUGGUUCUUACAGAGUACUCAUAGACCUAUGUAGAUACAACUGUUUCCUAAUAGCCUUUAAGUGAAUCGUACUAUGCUAAUCGAACCGACUAAAUAAAAUUGAGGGAAUAGAUACAUCCAAUCAAUGAGCUAGAGACCAUAUAAUGGUAAGAUGUGUAACGUCAAAUGGUUCUAAACUCUUUUGAAAUUUUGUUGAGAGAGCGGCCACAAUCUCAUCUGUUUGUGGAAGAAAAACAGAAUCAUUAAUAUAUGAGCGUUACGCAUCUUAUCAACAUAUUAUCUUUAGUUGAGAAAACGAGCAGGGGAAGGAUUAGUUUUUUUCGUGGAGUGUUUCAGAAACUCCCACAGCAUUUAUUAUGCGGCGCACAGAAAACCAAAACAAACAUGAAGAAACCAAAUGAAAAAUACUCAUAAUUAGUAAAAAUUAAAUGGAGCAAGGAGUUUAAUCGACAAUUCCAAGCGUAGAUCAAAAAAACCGUCGUUGAGACCAAGAUCUAAGGCAAAGCAAAGCAAAUGCCCGGCCUGGCCAUAUGGAGGGAGCAGGAUCAGGGAUCAGGGACUCCGAAACAGAGACAACAGAGAACAACAGAAUCAGUGUGUGAAUCAGGCGAAAUGCUAUUUUUGUUGAUACUCUUCUUCCUUUUUAAGAACUGUAAAUAAAACAAACAGAAGCUGUAUGAUAUUAACAAUUUUA